RNAcentral lists this unclassified non-coding RNA (322 nucleotides) under Hevea brasiliensis (rubber tree). Lineage: Eukaryota; Viridiplantae; Streptophyta; Magnoliopsida; Malpighiales; Euphorbiaceae. The record is from RNAcentral.
CCACCGCAACACGCCCCCACCCAGACUGUUGUAGUUGAGAAUCCUAUGUCCAUGGACGAAAGUGGCAAACUGGUGAGCAAUGUGGUGGUCGGAGUUACAACAGAGAGAAGAAAGACAUGACAGAUGUCCUCCAAUUGGUGAGAACAGUAUUUAAUGUUAUAGAUUGGGUUUGAUCUUACUGUUAUCAGUUUUUUGAAACUUGCAAAUAUACUGGAAAGGAUGAUAUGUGUUUAUAAAGUGAUUGGACAUUGCUUUAAGGUGGAAAGGUAUUUCCAUUGUAAUAUUGCAAGGAUGUGGGAUAGCUUGAAAAACUUAAUAAAGG